RNAcentral lists this long non-coding RNA (271 nucleotides) under Brassica napus (rape). RNAcentral describes it as "long non-coding RNA (BNAP_LNC004158)". The record is from RNAcentral. Lineage: Eukaryota; Viridiplantae; Streptophyta; Magnoliopsida; Brassicales; Brassicaceae.
AAGGUAACUUGUACGCGAGACAAGUGAAAUCGACAUAUGUAUCAGGAAUACACUGCAGUGAGGUUUCAUACAGAGGACCAAGAAAUCUGAUCUGAGUAUGAUGCAGGGUAACACGUGGUGGGAUACUUAUUUAAACAGAGGUAUUGAGCGAUGAAGGAUGGUGAGAUGAAGCAAAGUAAGAAACUGUUAGAAGACAUUGCAGGGAUUGCAGAGAAUUGUCUUACAGUUUGUCCAUUUCAGGUAGGGUAAAACUUGUUCUCCACAAGCAGAC